RNAcentral lists this transfer RNA (73 nucleotides) under Blattabacterium punctulatus. Its description in RNAcentral is "tRNA-Gly". It matches the Rfam family "tRNA". Rfam says of the family: Transfer RNA (tRNA) molecules are approximately 80 nucleotides in length. The record is from RNAcentral. Lineage: Bacteria; Pseudomonadati; Bacteroidota; Flavobacteriia; Flavobacteriales; Blattabacteriaceae. RNAcentral also lists the same sequence under 1 other name.
GCGAGAAUAGCUCAGUUGGUAGAGUACGACCUUGCCAAGGUCGGAGUCGCGGGUUCGAAUCCCGUUUCUCGCU